This 406-nucleotide ribosomal RNA is filed under the name uncultured bacterium. RNAcentral describes it as "partial 16S ribosomal RNA". It matches the Rfam family "Bacterial small subunit ribosomal RNA", at positions 30 to 526 of the family's 1533-position model. The record is from RNAcentral.
AUUGAACGCUGGCGGCAGGCCUAACACAUGCAAGUCGAGCGAGCGGCGGACGGGUGAGUAAUGUAUGGGAAACUGCCCGAUAGAGGGGGAUAACUACUGGAAACGGUGGCUAAUACCGCAUACCAUCGGAUGAUCCCAGAUGGGAUUAGCUAGUAGGGGGGGUAACGGCUCACCAAGGCGACGAACCCUAGCUGGGCUGAGAGGAUGACAAGCCACACUGGAACUGAGACACGGCCCAGACUCCUACGAGAGGCAGCAGUGGGUAAUAUUGCACAAUGGGCGCAAGCCUGAUGUAGCCAUGCCGCGUGUAUGAAGAAGGCCUUAGGGUUGUAAAGUACUUUCAGCGGUGAGGCGUUACCCGCAGAAGAAGCACCGGCUAACUCCGUGCCAGCAGCCGCGGUAAUAC